RNA transcript from Heterocephalus glaber (naked mole-rat), 3937 nucleotides. It is a transcript of the gene named phospholipid phosphatase related 5, with no coding region annotated. NCBI's taxonomy places the organism in Eukaryota, Metazoa, Chordata, Mammalia, Rodentia, Bathyergidae. The record is from RefSeq and is a predicted model, not a curated record.
CAUCGUUUUCCCGGGCGCUGUGCGGGUUUCUCAAACAGCCCAGCUGGUGCCUGGAAAGGGAGUUUCUAGAAGCUCCAUCUCUACUGCCUCCCCUCCCCUUUGGAGUUUGGUUUUACCCCCGCCCGGAGCGCCUCCAGCUCCACAGCCUCCGCCCCUCGAGGGGUCCAGAUGGUGAUCAUGGCCGGGACGGUGAUGCUGGCGUACUACUUCGAAUACACCGACACGUUCACUGUGAACGUGCAGGGCUUCUUCUGCCACGACAACGCCUACCGCAAGCCCUACCCGGGCCCGGAGGACCGCAGCGCCGUGCCCCCCGUGCUCCUCUACUCGCUGGCCGCCGGGGUCCCCGUGCUCGUGAUAAUAGUGGGAGAAACAGCUGUGUUUUGCCUGCAACUUGCCACACGAGAUUUUGAAAAUCAGGAAAAAACUAUUUUAACUGGAGACUGUUGCUAUAUAAACCCACUGGUGCGCAGAACUGUCCGAUUCCUCGGAAUUUAUACAUUUGGACUGUUUGCAACAGAUAUCUUUGUAAAUGCUGGACAAGUUGUUACAGGAAAUCUGGCUCCACAUUUUCUUGCCCUGUGUAAGCCCAACUACACGGCACUAGGAUGUCAGCAGUACACACAGUUCAUCAGUGGAGAAGAGGCUUGCACAGGGAACCCAGAUCUCAUCAUGAGGGCAAGGAAAACAUUCCCAUCCAAAGAGGCGGCUCUCAGUGUCUACGCAGCCAUGUAUCUGACAAUGUACAUUACCAACACAAUCAAAGCCAAAGGAACCAGACUUGCUAAGCCAGUUCUAUGCUUGGGAUUAAUGUGUUUAGCCUUUCUUACCGGACUCAACAGAGUAGCAGAAUAUCGAAAUCAUUGGUCAGAUGUGAUAGCAGGCUUUCUGGUUGGAAUAUCUAUAGCAGUAUUUCUGGUCGUGUGUGUGGUAAAUAAUUUCAAAGGACGACAACCAGAAAAUGAACAUAUACACAUGGAUAACCUGGCCCAGAUGCCAAUGAUCAGCAUUCCUCGAGUAGAAAGUCCUUUGGAAAAGGUAACAUCUGUACAGGGAGCAAUUAAUCUGCAACUCCAAUGUGCAGCAUUAAAAUUCCAUUAACACUGGAGCAGAAUAUUAACGUGUCUGGCAUUGCCAUUUUCAUCUCCCCAAAUUCCAGUGUCAAUUUUGAAUAAAGCAGAACCACAUCGCUGCCUUCGCGGAAGUCACAUGAUAUUGAAGUAGAUGGUUUUUCCCUGCAUUGGACAUCAUCUCUUUUUACCAUCCAUUCAUAACACCCAAAAUUUGUUUGAUUUUUUUAAAAGUUUAUAACAUUGUCUAAUAAUUUUUAUAAUUUUCAAAUUAAUUUCAGUGUAUCUGUUUCCCCCACUAGACUGUGAGCUCCUCGAGGGCAGGACCGUGUCUUCCUUUUCUGUAUCCCCAGCACCUAUAACAAAACCUAGCACAAAGUAGGUGUUCAAUAAAAUGAGAUGAUCAAAUGAACAAAUUAAUUCUUAAAUCAAAUUUUCACUUUAGUUUCUCAAAAAUCUCUGAGACUGUAAAAAGAAACCUUGACAUGAGUCACAUUUGUAUUAGAAAAGCCACUAUUUGGGGCUAAACUUUUUAAUUUUUCAUAUUAUCUGUUCAGUAGCAUAUCAUAUAUAAAUUGAAGUGGACUUUGAAAGUCAUGGGGGUUUUAUUUUAUUAUUCAGCAUGACAUUCUCAUUCUAACAGAUUUCAGCGUGUGAAAUUACUUUUAAAAACUAUGUCCUAUACUACUAAAUAAUGUUUGCACAUUAUAUUAUGCUAUUUGUCACUUAAAAUACCAUUCAUACUAUACAUUCGAAGACUGGUGCUUCUGCUUUUGAAGGGGAAAAUGCCAAUUUUUACUGUAAUAAGUAAUGUAUCAUAAUUAAAAAUUAUUUAUUUGGAGUUUUUCUCCUGACAGUUGUGGUUUAAUUUUUGAUUUGUAGUUUCUGAAUGCUGGCAGUGUUUAGGAUCAGUUAAAUGAGUAAAUCCAGCUGAUUAUGGAAUAAUUUUCCAUUGACAACAGUGUCUCAAGUGUGGUCAAUGGGUCCCAUUCUUAGAUAUUUUUUACUGGGCCAGAUUUUACAUUAUUCAAAUGGGAAAGAACCACCCCGACACAAUUUAAAUUAGAUAACUGCUAGAAAUAGAAUUAAAAUAUUUGACUUUGCCUUUGUUAGUGCUUUACAGUAUGAAAUACAUUUGCUUUAUGAUUUCAUUUAAUCCUCACAAUCACCCCAUGUAAAUAUUACAAGUAUGGCUUUAUUUCAUAGAUGAGAAAAAUGAAGCCAAGAUGGGGUGAACAACAUGCCUGAUCCUACACAACUAGGAAAAGGCAGCGUCAAAACCAAAUUUAGAUAUUAUGACCCCAAACAUUUCCAAGAUGCCACAGCUGUCAUGCGAUCUUUGGAUACCAAGGCCUUUGAGAGGUCAUUAAGUACUGGGCAACUACCUAUGUUUCAACAAAUGCAGAAAUACCAAAAGAGGGUUACAAAAACUGCUAUAUUUUAAAUGUUUACUUUUUAAGAAUGCACAUUUUUUAAAUACACAGUGACACAGUAACCUAUUUGUAAUCUGGUUUGUAAAUAAUUAAUGUAGAAGGCCUGGAUUGGAGGCCCUUUAUAAAUGAAGCCUGAACCAAGUGUCUUUCCUUCCACUCUCAACUCCAGACCCCAGACCCAUUCAGAAGACCUGAGGGCCAUGAUUUACAAUGAGCAUGUGGAAUUAAGGGUAGAAAUUACCAUAGAAAGGAAGACGAUGAGCUCCUCAACAGUCUCCUUGCCAACUUUAAAGCUAACCUGAUUAACUUUGUCUUAUAUGAGCAGCAAUCAGUUGAAACAAAUCUUUCUAGUCUUGAAAGAAAGUGAACUUUUAAUUCAUUAUGUAAUUCAAAAGAAAUCAGAAAAAAAAGAAAUAUAUAUAUAUAUAACCAAAAUUCAUCCAUUGCUUCCAAAAUGGAUGUCACUUGUCCGUUUCCAAAGCUAGGCCUUAAAAUAUUUACUAGGGCCAAAUAAAGUAAAUUAUAUUUCUACCAAUUUCAGGUCUCUAUAGCAAUUCAAUUCUGUUGGAAAUUUAGAACAUGAAAAAGCUUUGAAUGCUUUGACCCUCUUCAGAGAAUAAGGUUUUAAAUAAUAACAGCAAUGGGGAAUUCAGUUAUUGGCAGUGGAUGUGAGGGGUGAUCAUAAUGCUUUAGGAGGCUGGAUCACCAAUAAGGCUUCUAAAGUUUGAUCGGUUCUAUUGGUACCACAUCAGCUUUUUAAGAAUCCAAGCAGAAAUAUUUUCCUAUUGGAAGCCUUAGCUAUAAGUUAGUAUGUCAGUGUUGUUAUCUUUGUACCCUGCUAAACCUGGUCUGAAUACAGGAGUUGUAAAUUCUUCAAAAACCCAGGAUGUAACCUGGAAUCAGAGUAAGGUCACUUUUAAUAUUUAAACAUCAUGGAUCCAAGAUUGCUCAAUGAAUGAUUCUAUCAUGAAGAAAACCAGGAAAAAAAGGAAGAUACAUGUGAAUAAGGCAAAAGCCAGCCAAAACACAAAACCUUUAACCAUGAUCCUAUUACCAAGAAUAAUGAAAAGUACAUUUGACAAAAAUUAUAUAUGUAUAUAUACCUAUAUAUAUAUGGCAGGCAAACAUAUCUUUCUGAUAAAGACAUCCUUUUUAUUCUAUUUCCUUGGGGCCCAGGUCAGUAUAAAUUGAUCAACCUGAAAAUUUCAGUAGUGUCUGUUUGCAUGGCAGAAAUUCUGCACAUGUUUUAUCUGAUUCCUAAGAUAACUUAAAAGGCUCUUUUAUGUUAAAAGAGAGGUGAACCUUCUUUGACAGACUUUGUCCACUCUACUUCUAACUGGGCCUCUCUUCUCAGGAUAUAGCUAGUCAAGUAUCUCAGCUACAUUUAUCAUAGAGUUUCCUUUGUGAAAAAGCAGUAGAGAGGGAAAUAAUUCU